RNAcentral lists this ribosomal RNA (253 nucleotides) under uncultured bacterium. RNAcentral's name for it is "partial 16S ribosomal RNA". It matches the Rfam family "Bacterial small subunit ribosomal RNA", at positions 524 to 776 of the family's 1533-position model. The record is from RNAcentral.
UACGGAGGGUGCAAGCGUUAUCCGGAUUCACUGGGUUUAAAGGGUGCGUAGGAGGGCAGGUAAGUCAGUGGUGAAAUCUCCAAGCUUAACUUGGAAACUGCCGUUGAUACUAUCUGUCUUGAAUACCGUGGAGGUGAGCGGAAUAUGUCAUGUAGCGGUGAAAUGCUUAGAUAUGACAUAGAACACCAAUUGCGAAGGCAGCUCGCUACACGAAUAUUGACUCCGAGGCACGAAAGCGUGGGGAUCAAACAGG